UUGCACCUGUGUGAGGUGAAGGUGGAGAGAGCAGAAAUGACCGCCAGGUGGAUGCUUCUCUGGUUUCCAUGGGAUGAAGAGGAUGAAGAAUUUGCCAAGAUACCAAGAAAAGAAACGCAAAGAAAAGAAAGACUGAGUAGAAGCCAGAUGGGCUUUUUAAAAAGUCAACUGAAGAAAGCUAGAGGCCAUAGGAAGGUCAUAUAGAAAGGCCAUAGUUGACAUUCGUAUAGGCGAUAUUCCAGGAAGAGGCUAUCCUUGCUAGAGCUACAGAGGUAGUAGCAUGUUUGUCUGGGUAAGCUAUUCUUGAAAACUUCUCUAACAUCAGGUCAUCCAGAAAAGAUACUUCCCUGUAAUGGCUGAUGUCAUUGCUUUUGAUUUUCCUUAAAUAUUAAGCUUGAUUUAUCUGGUGGAACACAAAUCAUAUGGAAACAACCAUUAUUAUUUUUCUCUUUCAUUUACACAAGUGUGUAGGACACCUAAAAAUAAGACAUGGGCUAACAUCAGAUCAUUUCAAUAAGGUGGUAAACCAAACUGGUACAUUUCCUGAAAACACUGGCAUGUGUUUUUUUCCCAGCUAGCCUCAUCUUCAGCUGUAUCAAAGAACUCUCUAGCACCAAGUAACAAACAUCCCACACUGAUCAGGAGAUGUAUGUUCUUCCUCAUCCAAAUGCAAACAUCUGUUCAAAAACUGGAGAAGUUCCAAGUUUUCUGCCAAUAAGCACUAAAAGAAAAUUUCUUCCUGCGCCCAAAUUAGUGUAUUGUAUUAACUUGUAUUAACGUAGGGAAAAGAAGGCAGCUGCAAUAUGCAGAUCAUCUUUUUUCUUCAAACUGAUGGGUUCUGUUUAUCUCACCACGAGCGGAGUGAAAAAUGGAGUAAAGUGUGCA
Aptenodytes forsteri (emperor penguin) is the source of this 885-nucleotide long non-coding RNA. RefSeq lists it as uncharacterized. Lineage: Eukaryota; Metazoa; Chordata; Aves; Sphenisciformes; Spheniscidae. The record is from RefSeq and is a predicted model, not a curated record. The transcript is spliced from 2 exons.